This 1123-nucleotide long non-coding RNA is filed under the name Monodelphis domestica (gray short-tailed opossum). RNAcentral describes it as "lncRNA (ENSMODG00000042988.1)". Lineage: Eukaryota; Metazoa; Chordata; Mammalia; Didelphimorphia; Didelphidae. The record is from RNAcentral.
UUUACAUAUGGAUGUAUGUGUACAUGCUUAUAAUUGAUGAAAUCUUAAUGAGAACAUUAGUGGAACAUGAAUCUUUGAUAAUUUUUCUGAUCAGAAUAGUUAUUAACUCCAUGUUCUCCUGAAUUAAUUCCAGAGCUUUAAGACAUGUGAAGAAUAUAAACACCUUUAGGGCAGUGACUAUUUGUUUUUGCAUUUUAUUUAUAUCCCCAGUGGCAAUACAGUGCCUACUACAUAGUAGGCACUCAAAAAUGUGGAAAGUAAGAAAGGUAGAGACAAAGACAGAGACAGAGACAGACAAAGUGGAUGGAUAGAUAGAGGUAUCCAUAUUUUGAUCAGGGAGUUCACUGCUUUUUUGUGGAUCAAUAUGCAAGAAAUAAAAUGAUGUCCGAGAGAUAAUGUGAAUUUGUCUUGUUAUAGAUAACAUCUAAUUGCAUUUAAUGCAAUUAAAAUUAUUCCUCCUAAUAAUUUUUACUAAUUAAUAUUUAACUCCCUGAAAUGAUAGCGACAACAUUGUCAUUACCACAGAAUAUUUGUUUCCCCACCCCAAUUCCAACUACUGAAAUUGACCUCUGCUUCAAGGGUCAGUUAAAAUUUUGCUACAUAUAGAUGCACUUUUCCCCUUUCUCCUAACUACCAAUGAAAAAUAAACUAUUAAAAAUAUGAAUAAAGCUUUAGCUAUGAAAGGACAUCUCUGCAGCCAUCUAGUUAAAUAUCCUAAUUUUUAUAGAUAAGAUAAAGAAACUGAGAUAUAGUUUAGGUGUUGAUUUCCACAAAUAAGUAUUAAACUGUCAUUUCUCCUUCUUCAUAAAGUCAUCCAUCUAGAGAUGAAAGGACCUCAGUGGCUAUGUAGUACAAUUCUCUCAUUUUACAGAUGAAGAAAUGGGGCCCAAGGAAGGGAGGCACCUUGUCCAAGUAUCACAAAGAGGCUGUUCCUGUUAACUCCUUUUGCUGUCACUUCUGCUUACUGUUCCUGAUACUGGGAAGCAGGAUACAGGGAAGAAGUGAGGAUGGAUUAGAAGAAGGAAAAGACUUUGGAACUGAAACUUUAAAAAAGAAUGCUAAAAUGACUUCUAAAUGUAAAGGUUGAAAAAUGUUAUUUUAAUAAAACCAUGGGAUUAAUGCA